Oncorhynchus keta (chum salmon) is the source of this 892-nucleotide long non-coding RNA. RefSeq lists it as uncharacterized. The record is from RefSeq and is a predicted model, not a curated record. Lineage: Eukaryota; Metazoa; Chordata; Actinopteri; Salmoniformes; Salmonidae. The transcript has 3 exons.
CUAUGUGUAUCAGGGCAGGUCUAUGUGUAUCAGGGCAGGUCUAUGUGUAUCAGGGCAGGUCUAUGUGUAUCAGGGCAGGUCUAUGUGUAUAAGGGCAGGUCUAUGUGUAUAAGGGCAGGUCUAUGUGUAUAAGGGCAGGUCUAUGUGUAUCAGGGCAGGUCUAUGUGUAUCAGGGCAGGUCUAUGUGUAUCAGGGCAGGUCUAUGUGUAUCAGGGCAGGUCUAUGUGUAUAAGGGCAGGUCUAUGUGUAUCAGGGCAGGUCUAUGUGUAUCAGGGCAGGUCUAUGUGUAUCAGGGCAGGUCUAUGUGUAUCAGGGCAGGUCUAUGUGUAUCAGGGCAGGUCUAUGUGUAUAAGGGCAGGUCUAUGUGUAUCAGGGCAGGUCUAUGUGUAUCAGGGCAGGUCUAUGUGUAUAAGGGCAGGUCUAUAUGUAUAAGGGCAGGUCUAUGUGUAUAAGGGCAGGUCUAUGUGUAUAAGGGCAGGUCUAUGUGUAUAAGGGCAGGUCUAUGUGUAUCAGGGCAGGUCUAUGUGUAUAAGGGCAGGUCUAUGUGUAUCAGGGCAGGUCUAUGUGUGUAUCAGGGCAGGUCUAUGUGUGUAUCAGGGCAGGUCUAUGUGUAUCAGGGCAGGUCUAUGUGUAUCAGGGCAGGUCUAUGUGUAUCAGGGCAGGUCUAUGUGUAUCAGGGCAGGUCUAUGUGUAUCAGGGCAGGUCUAUGUGUAUAAGGGCAGGUCUAUGUGUAUCAGGGCAGGUCUAUGUGUGUAUCAGGGCAGGUCUAUGUGUAUCAGGGCAGGUCUAUGUGUAUCAGGGCAGGUCUAUGUGUAUAAGGGCAGGUCUAUGUGUAUCAGGGCAGGUCUAUGUGUAUAAGGGCAGGUCUAUGUGUAUCAGGGCAGGUCUAUGU